RNAcentral lists this long non-coding RNA (211 nucleotides) under Elaeis guineensis (African oil palm). RNAcentral describes it as "long non-coding RNA (EGUI_LNC009897)". Lineage: Eukaryota; Viridiplantae; Streptophyta; Magnoliopsida; Arecales; Arecaceae. The record is from RNAcentral.
GGGACACUAGCUCCUAAGCUUCAUGGACACCUUCUCAGGCCAUAAUCAAUUCAAAUGAUGCUCGAGCAUGAGAAGAAGAUUGCAUUUAUAACUGACAAAAUUUAUAUUAUUAUAAAAUCAUAUCUUUUGGAUUGAAAAAUAUUGGAGCUAUAUACUAGCACCUCAUUAAUCAAGUGUUCAAACACCAACCUAGGCGCAAUGUAAAGGUCUA